UGCGUAGGCGGAAAAUUAAGUCAGUGGUGAAAUCCUGCAGCUUAACUGUAGAACUGUCAUUGAUACUGAUUUUCUUGAAUAUAGUUGAGGUAGGCGGAAUGUGUAAUGUAGCGGUGAAAUGCUUAGAUAUUACACAGAACACCGAUUGCGACGGCAGCUUACUAAGCUAUUAUUGACGCUGAGGCACGAAAGCGUGGGGAGCGAACAGGAUUAGAUACCCUGGUAGUCC
RNAcentral lists this ribosomal RNA (229 nucleotides) under uncultured bacterium. RNAcentral describes it as "partial 16S ribosomal RNA". It matches the Rfam family "Bacterial small subunit ribosomal RNA", at positions 568 to 796 of the family's 1533-position model. The record is from RNAcentral.